This 444-nucleotide ribosomal RNA is filed under the name uncultured bacterium. Its description in RNAcentral is "bacterial SSU rRNA". It matches the Rfam family "Bacterial small subunit ribosomal RNA", at positions 331 to 792 of the family's 1533-position model. The record is from RNAcentral.
CCAGACUCCUACGGGAGGCAGCAGUGGGGAAUAUUGCACAAUGGGGGAAACCCUGAUGCAGCGACGCCGCGUGAGCGAAGAAGUAUCUCGGUAUGUAAAGCUCUAUCAGCAGGGAAGAAAAUGACGGUACCUGACUAAGAAGCCCCGGCUAACUACGUGCCAGCAGCCGCGGUAAUACGUAGGGGGCAAGCGUUAUCCGGAUUUACUGGGUGUAAAGGGAGCGCAGGCGGCGCGGUAAGUCUGAUGUGAAAGCCCGGGGCUCAACCCCGGGACUGCAUUGGAAACUGUCGUGCUGGAGUGUCGGAGGGGCAAGUGGAAUUCCUAGUGUAGCGGUGAAAUGCGUAGAUAUUAGGAGGAACACCAGUGGCGAAGGCGGCUUGCUGGACGACAACUGACGCUGAGGCUCGAAAGCGUGGGGAGCAAACAGGAUUAGAUACCCUUGUA